Long non-coding RNA from Arvicola amphibius (Eurasian water vole), 654 nucleotides. RefSeq lists it as uncharacterized. The transcript has 3 exons. NCBI's taxonomy places the organism in Eukaryota, Metazoa, Chordata, Mammalia, Rodentia, Cricetidae. The record is from RefSeq and is a predicted model, not a curated record.
AGAGCUAAAUGGUCAAAACCUAGGAAGGAGAUAUAGGAGGAAAUUCCAAGCAGAAAGAAACAGGGAGGAGGAAGCUAGGUGUACAAUUUCACCAGCAGACUUGAAGCAAAUCAGGCAUGCUGUACUAAGAAGAGGUAACUCAGCCUGUGGCAGAAUGUAGGUGUGUUAGUUAAGGUAUAAGAGUUAGUUGAGACAAGCCUAAGUUAAAGGCCAAGCUUUUAUAAUUAAUAAAAUUCUCUGUGUCAUUAUUUUGGGGUUGGUGAUCCAAAAAUAGUUUGACAAGAAAUCUUGCUACAAGUUUCCACCUGCUGUCACAGAAGGACAUCUCUCUGCUGAUGACCAGAUAAGGCACUGUUAUUUUCUAAUGAGACACAGAAAAGGAGUGGAUCCAGAAGGCAAAUGAGUUGUAUUUGGACACUGGAGACAUUACAAGCUUGAUUACACUAAAAAUGAAGAAAAAGCAGAGCAAGAAAAAAAAUGAGCUGCUUUGGGUUGUGAAGGCACACAUUUCAGUGACACCAGGAAUAGUUUUCAAACACUGGAAACUACAUGGCAAUUCAAACCUAAUCUGGAGGAAAGGAGAUGUCAAGAGGCUGGGAUUCAAGGGAAAUGCAUCAAAUUGAUAAAUAAGAAGAGAGGAAAGACAGUGGCAAC